RNAcentral lists this ribosomal RNA (497 nucleotides) under uncultured bacterium. RNAcentral's name for it is "partial 16S ribosomal RNA". It matches the Rfam family "Bacterial small subunit ribosomal RNA", at positions 28 to 507 of the family's 1533-position model. The record is from RNAcentral.
GAUGAACGCUGGCGGCGUGCCUAAUACAUGCAAGUCGAGCGAACAGACGAGGAGCUUGCUCCUCUGACGUUAGCGGCGGACGGGAGAGUAACACGUGGAUAACCUACCUAUAAGGCUGGGAUAACUUCGGGAAACCGGAGCUAAUACCGGAUAAUAUAUUGAACCGCAUGGUUCAAUAGUGAAAGACGGUUUUGCUGUCACUUAUAGAUGGAUCCGCGCCGCAUUAGCUAGUUGGUAAGGUAACGGCUUACCAAGGCAACGAUGCGUAGCAGACCUGAGAGGGUGAUCGGCCACACUGGAACUGAGACACGGUCCAGACUCCUACGGGAGGCAGCAGUAGGGAAUCUUCCGCAAUGGGCGAAAGCUUGACGGAGCAACGCCGCGUGAGUGAUGAAGGUCUUCGGAUCGUAAAACUCUGUUAUUAGGGAAGAACAGAUUUGUAAGUAACUAUGCACGUCUUGACGGUACCUAAUCAGAAAGCCACGGCUAACUACGUG